RNAcentral lists this ribosomal RNA (473 nucleotides) under uncultured bacterium. Its description in RNAcentral is "partial 16S ribosomal RNA". It matches the Rfam family "Bacterial small subunit ribosomal RNA", at positions 28 to 523 of the family's 1533-position model. The record is from RNAcentral.
GACGAACGCUGGCGGCGUGCUUAACACAUGCAAGUCGAGCGGAAAGGCCCUUCGGGGUACUCGAGCGGCGAACGGGUGAGUAACACGUGGGCAACCUGCCCCUCGCUCUGGGAUAACUCCGGGAAACCGGGGCUAAUACCGGAUACGACCUCGGAAGACAUCUUCUGAGGUGGAAAGUUUUUCGGCGAGGGAUGGGCCCGCGGCCUAUCAGCUUGUUGGUGGGGUAACGGCCCACCAAGGCGACGACGGGUAGCCGGCCUGAGAGGGCGACCGGCCACACUGGGACUGAGACACGGCCCAGACUCCUACGGGAGGCAGCAGUGGGGAAUAUUGCGCAAUGGGCGAAAGCCUGACGCAGCGACGCCGCGUGAGGGAUGAAGGCCUUCGGGUUGUAAACCUCUUUCAGCAGGGACGAAAACAGACGGUACCUGCAGAAGAAGCACCGGCCAACUACGUGCCAGCCGCCGCAGUAA